RNAcentral lists this long non-coding RNA (835 nucleotides) under Anser brachyrhynchus (Pink-footed goose). RNAcentral describes it as "lncRNA (ENSABRG00000015464.1)". The record is from RNAcentral. Lineage: Eukaryota; Metazoa; Chordata; Aves; Anseriformes; Anatidae.
AUGCAAUAUAAAUCAGUCUCAGGGCCUGAAUCACAAGCCUCAGUAUAGCAUUCCAUCAUGCUUUCAUGAAAUUUCAAUAUUGAGAUCAAAAUACGUAGAAAAACUGGGAUGUGUAUUCAACAGUGAACAUCAUCCCACAACUUCAGAUUUGCAACUUUUACAUCUAUUUUAAUACUCAUAUAAAAAUGUGAACAACUGUAGCAACAAAGGAGAACAAUUAAAUUCAAUUAGAACUGACUAGUGUUAUGGUAUUGCGAAGAGAUUAUAUCUUCUAAUUUUGAAAAAGUGAUUGCUUUUACAGUUCAAGGAUUACAGCGCCUCCAGUUCUAAAAAUGUAGUCUUUUAAAUUGAAUAGGUCUCAGAAUAAGUCACCUUUUUCCCAUUCUUAGUCCAAAAGGAGCAGAGCCCUAAUGCCCUGCAGUGUUUUUGCUUCUGUUUGCCAAAUGACCUCUAUAAGAGCUGCUUCAACUGGUUGCUUGCUUCUGUAUGCUGUAGACUAUAGACAAUUCCCAUAGCAGAAACAUCACUGCAAAUUUUCUUUUUUUUUUUUUUCCUACAGAAUUUGUUUUGUUUCUGUUCAUUGCCUACAUGGAAGACAGAAACUUACUGAAGAUCUGAAGUUCAUCCCAAUAAACUGACCUUAAUACUCUCAAAACAGUUGUGCAGUGUAUCAAUCAGCCCAGGGAUUUCUUUAAAGCACCUCUACUUGUGGUGGGUAGAAAAACUGGGAAGCACAAGUAGCCCCCUCUAUUCAGUAAGUACUGAUGCCUUUGUCAACAAGCUUUUCAUGGGUUUAGAAAUAACAAGUAGCAUCUUUUGAAGAUCAAAGAGAUCA